Molecule: ribosomal RNA, 629 nt
Filed under: Streptomyces sp. D1621
Lineage: Bacteria; Bacillati; Actinomycetota; Actinomycetes; Kitasatosporales; Streptomycetaceae
Description: bacterial SSU rRNA
Rfam family: Bacterial small subunit ribosomal RNA
Source: RNAcentral
UGCAGUCGAACGAUGAACCACUUCGGUGGGGAUUAGUGGCGAACGGGUGAGUAACACGUGGGCAAUCUGCCCUGCACUCUGGGACAAGCCCUGGAAACGGGGUCUAAUACCGGAUACUGAUUGUCUUGGGCAUCCUUGAUGAUCGAAAGCUCCGGCGGUGCAGGAUGAGCCCGCGGCCUAUCAGCUUGUUGGUGAGGUAACGGCUCACCAAGGCGACGACGGGUAGCCGGCCUGAGAGGGCGACCGGCCACACUGGGACUGAGACACGGCCCAGACUCCUACGGGAGGCAGCAGUGGGGAAUAUUGCACAAUGGGCGCAAGCCUGAUGCAGCGACGCCGCGUGAGGGAUGACGGCCUUCGGGUUGUAAACCUCUUUCAGCAGGGAAGAAGCGAAAGUGACGGUACCUGCAGAAGAAGCGCCGGCUAACUACGUGCCAGCAGCCGCGGUAAUACGUAGGGCGCAAGCGUUGUCCGGAAUUAUUGGGCGUAAAGAGCUCGUAGGCGGCUUGUCGCGUCGGUUGUGAAAGCCCGGGGCUUAACCCCGGGUCUGCAGUCGAUACGGGCAGGCUAGAGUUCGGUAGGGGAGAUCGGAAUUCCUGGUGUAGCGGUGAAAUGCGCAGAUAUCAGGA